RNAcentral lists this ribosomal RNA (465 nucleotides) under Vreelandella stevensii. RNAcentral describes it as "partial 16S ribosomal RNA". It matches the Rfam family "Bacterial small subunit ribosomal RNA", at positions 338 to 795 of the family's 1533-position model. Lineage: Bacteria; Pseudomonadati; Pseudomonadota; Gammaproteobacteria; Oceanospirillales; Halomonadaceae. The record is from RNAcentral.
CCUACGGGUGGCUGCAGUGGGGAAUAUUGGACAAUGGGCGAAAGCCUGAUCCAGCCAUGCCGCGUGUGUGAAGAAGGCCUUCGGGUUGUAAAGCACUUUCAGUGGGGAAGAAAGCCUUGGGGCUAAUACCCUCGAGGAAGGACAUCACCCACAGAAGAAGCACCGGCUAACUCCGUGCCAGCAGCCGCGGUAAUACGGAGGGUGCGAGCGUUAAUCGGAAUUACUGGGCGUAAAGCGCGCGUAGGCGGUCUGAUAAGCCGGUUGUGAAAGCCCCGGGCUCAACCUGGGAACGGCAUCCGGAACUGUCAGGCUAGAGUGCAGGAGAGGAAGGUAGAAUUCCCGGUGUAGCGGUGAAAUGCGUAGAGAUCGGGAGGAAUACCAGUGGCGAAGGCGGCCUUCUGGACUGACACUGACGCUGAGGUGCGAAAGCGUGGGUAGCAAACAGGACUAGAUACCCCUGUAGUC